Molecule: ribosomal RNA, 577 nt
Filed under: Hirondellea gigas
Lineage: Eukaryota; Metazoa; Arthropoda; Malacostraca; Amphipoda; Lysianassidae
Description: 16S ribosomal RNA
Rfam family: Bacterial large subunit ribosomal RNA
Source: RNAcentral
UGAUAGUUUAACAAAAACAUUUUUUUAUUUAAUGAGAUAAGGCCUGCCCAGUGAUAAAUUAAACGGCUGCGGUAUUUUGACCGUGCUAAGGUAGCAUAAUCAUUUGGUUUUUAAUUGAAAUCUGGAAUGAAGGGUUUUACAGUAGUUAUUGUCUUGAUUUUGGAUUUUGAAUUUUUGUUUUAAAUUAAAAUAUUUAGAUAAAUUAGAGGGACGAUAAGACCCUAAAAGCUUUACUUUAUUUUAUGUGGUUUAGAUUAAAAUGUUAGAUUGGCUGGGGUAGUUGUUUUAUAUUGACUAAGAUUUAAUAAAGCUAUAAAGGUUGAUGGUCCUUAAAAUUAAGAUAGUUAGAUGGAGUUACUUUAGGGAUAACAGCGUAAUAACUUUGGAGAGGUCAUAUUUAUGGGGUUGAUUGCGACCUCGAUGUUGAAUUAAAUUAAAAACUACAGCGCAGAAUAGGUAGGGUUAGGUUUGUUCAGCCUUUAUAUAUUUACAUGAUUUGAGUUCAAAUCGGUUUAAGCCAGAUUGGUUUCUAUCUUCUAUGAAAAAGUAGCUGUUUUAGUACGAGAGGACCAAUUAG